Molecule: ribosomal RNA, 468 nt
Filed under: uncultured bacterium
Lineage: Bacteria
Description: partial 16S ribosomal RNA
Rfam family: Bacterial small subunit ribosomal RNA
Source: RNAcentral
GACGAACGCUGGCGGCGUGCUUAACACAUGCAAGUCGAACGGAAAGGCCCUGCUUUUGUGGGGUUCUCGAGUGGCGAACGGGUGAGUAACACGUGUGUAACCUGCCCUUGACUUUGUGAUAACUUCAGGAAACUGGGGCUAAUACCGGAUAGGAGCUCCUGCUGCAUGGUGGUGGAUGGAAAGUUUCGGCGGUUGGGGAUGGACUCGCGGCUUAUCAGCUUGUUGGUGGGGUAGUGGCUUACCAAGGCUUUGACGGGUAGCCGGCCUGAGAGGGUGACCGGCCACAUGGGGCCUGAGAUACGGCCCAGUCUUCUACGGGCCGCAGCAGUGGGAAAUAUUACACAGUGGGCGGGCGUGUGAUACAGAAGCGCCGCGUGCGGGAUGACGGCCUUCGGGUUGUAAACCGCUUUCGACUGAGACGAAGCGUGCGUGACGGUAAUGGGUAAAGAAGCACCGGCUAACUACGUG